RNAcentral lists this ribosomal RNA (498 nucleotides) under uncultured bacterium. RNAcentral's name for it is "partial 16S ribosomal RNA". It matches the Rfam family "Bacterial small subunit ribosomal RNA", at positions 28 to 507 of the family's 1533-position model. The record is from RNAcentral.
GACGAACGCUGGCGGCGUGCCUAAUACAUGCAAGUCGAACGAGAGCACCCGGUGCUUGCCCUGGUCAAUCUAGUGGCGAACGGGUGAGUAACACGUGGGUAACCUGCCCAUCAGAGGGGGAUAACAUCCGGAAACGGAUGCUAAAACCGCAUAGGUCUUCGAACCGCAUGGUUUGAAGAGGAAAAGAGGCGCAAGCUUCUGCUGAUGGAUGGACCCGCGGUGCAUUAGCUAGUUGGUGAGGUAACGGCUCACCAAGGCCGUGAUGCAUAGCCGACCUGAGGGGGUGAUCGGCCACAUUGGGACUGAGACACGGCCCAAACUCCUACGGGAGGCAGCAGUAGGGAAUCUUCCGCAAUGGACGCAAGUCUGACGGAGCAACGCCGCGUGAGUGAAGAAGGUGUUCGGAUCGUAAAACUCUGUUGUUAGAGAAGAACAAGUGCUAGAGUAACUGUUAGCGCCUUGACGGUAUCUAACCAGAAAGCCACGGCUAACUACGUG